Pieris napi is the source of this 647-nucleotide long non-coding RNA. RefSeq lists it as uncharacterized. The record is from RefSeq and is a predicted model, not a curated record. Lineage: Eukaryota; Metazoa; Arthropoda; Insecta; Lepidoptera; Pieridae. The transcript has 2 exons.
CAUUGAGAAGAAUAUUCCCGGUAACAUGUUCAUAUCCAUAAAUCUUACGGGGAAUAUUCCCGGGCCUGAAUACGACCCUGUAUUCCUGACCUACUUAUUAUCCUGCUGUGCACGGGGCGCGCUGUGGUUCGGCGGAAAGCGUUUAGAUCUUGUGACGUCAUCGCUUGCAUUCGCGCGGUCAGUAAACCUUGUUCGGUAUUUUGCCCAUAACUUUGUCAGAUUUGGUCGUAGAACAAAAUUUUUUGCACUUUAUGUUUUAGUUUCUCAAGGACUAUAAAACUGCAUUUAUAACGUAAAACUAUUACAUGUCCCCAUUAAGAGUGUAUUAGAGAAUGUAGGGUAAAAGCCGGACGGAUACAUGCCCCGGUGUAUAAAAAACUAUGUUAAGAUUAUAAGUUAUGUUGGCGCUUUACUACAAUAAGCAGUGAGCGCCCUUCAGGCCUCAAUGCCGCGUAAGCCAUCGGAAUAGGCGCACGUGUUUUGUCCGUGUGAGCAAAAAUCUUCCGCGGCGAAACUUUGACGGGCGUUAUAAUUAUAUUGAUAAGCAAAAUGCCUCGCAAAUAUAAGCGAAAACCAGGCGUGGUGCCACGUAACAUCUACUGGACAGAAGAUAGCUUAGCACUUGCCUUCGAAGAAUUAAAACAAAA